GAACAGAAACAAAAGUGAACACCUUGGUGACAAAAUCAAGUGCACAGGGGCCAUCUGACUCAGA
Molecule: small nucleolar RNA, 64 nt
Organism: Phyllostomus hastatus (greater spear-nosed bat)
Lineage: Eukaryota; Metazoa; Chordata; Mammalia; Chiroptera; Phyllostomidae
Product: small nucleolar RNA SNORD67
Exons: 1
Source: RefSeq, a predicted model, not a curated record